Halichondria panicea is the source of this 1150-nucleotide long non-coding RNA. RefSeq lists it as uncharacterized. The record is from RefSeq and is a predicted model, not a curated record. The transcript has 3 exons. NCBI's taxonomy places the organism in Eukaryota, Metazoa, Porifera, Demospongiae, Suberitida, Halichondriidae.
CUGCUCCGCCCCCAAAUCAAGCUGCAGCAGAAGACUAACCGCACUGAGCUAGCUGCAGCUGAGUACUAUUGUAGCUAGUUAACAGGUACCUAAUACCUCAUGCAAGCUAGUAUUGGUGCUCUGAAGAAGUUUCUAUUUUUAAUAAGGCAGAGAAAAAAGAGAGAGCUGUUUUGUGAGUAAUUGAAUUAGGAGCAGACCAGCCCCACCCCCCUUCUGCAGGACCCCAGGGCAUUUCUUCAGAAUGAGGUACAAGCAUUAAACGAAAUCCUAUAGUGGCACGUGUAACAACAACGGUCGAACUAUCGCAUGCUGUAUGGCUUGCUCAUCAGUUAAGGCCCGGCCAGUGACCACUGUAUUUUCAUAGCACAGGAUGCUACAUGCCGAUCCCAUGCCGCACAUUAUGGAACACCAUCUAUAAACAAUACUCCGUUCACGCAUCAUCUGGCAAUGGAAUGUGCCGACUGAUAAUGUGAGGAUACAACCACGACUGUUCCCUUGGCAACUGCCGGUCAUCAUCACCGCGUUCUUUCUUGCCUUCUCUACUAGACCUCUCCGAGGGAUCCUGGCGAUUGGAGUAUGAUCUGUCUUGACUGGUUGUUUUAGAGUCUUUAGUACCACUUCUCUUUGGACUGCUGUGAGGAGAGCCGCUAUAAUCUCUGCCUUCUCUGAGACGCUUUAAUGGUGGCUCCUGGGAGGACCUGCACAAGGGAACAAAAGCACUCACUCAGACACAGCAAGUGCAAUGGUUGAGGGACAAUGGGAGAGAAAGUGGGUUGCAAGAAAAUAGGAAGUAUUGAUGAGAGGAAGAAAUGGGAAACUCUAUUGUAAACUUAGGAAGAUUAAUCAACUGGCCAACAAAUACAAUGGUACCAAAUCAGGCAGCUAAACACUGGCAAUCUCCUCACCUGUCCUUCUUGUUGAUUAGUCCAUACGAUUUCCCCUGGUUACCAUCAGACUCCGCCCCUCUCUGGGAGUGGUCAUCUGGCGUACGAAGAUAUUCCUCCCUGCUCACUAACUCAAGAUGGUGCUGACUGAAGCCGAGAGUCUGGAUGGUGAUAAUGAUCACACAAAGUUACAUAAGAAGAGAACACAUGUUUAUGUACAAUAAAACGACAUAAUACUUGUGUACAGUGGAAACUCUAAUAUAAAU